CGGGGGGCUGCAGCAGUGGGGAAUAUUGCGCAAUGGGCGAAAGCCUGACGCAGCAACGCCGCGUGAGUGAUGAAGGCCUUCGGGUCGUAAAGCUCUGUCAGGAGGGAAGAACAACUUUCGAGAACAAUACCUCGAGGGCAUGACGGUACCUCCAGAGGAAGCACCGGCUAACUCCGUGCCAGCAGCCGCGGUAAUACGGAGGGUGCUAGCGUUGUUCGGAGUUACUGGGCGUAAAGCGCGUGUAGGCGGAUUCGGAAGUCGGGUGUGAAAGCCCUGGGCUCAACCCAGGAAGUGCUCUCGAAACCACGAAUCUAGAGAUCCGGAGGGGAUCGGGGAAUUCCCAGUGUAGAGGUGAAAUUCGUAGAUAUUGGGAAGAACACCGGCGGCGAAGGCGCCGAUCUGGACGGAUUCUGACGCUGAGACGCGAAAGCGUGGGUAGCAAACAGGAUUAGAUACCCUUGUAGUC
RNAcentral lists this ribosomal RNA (466 nucleotides) under uncultured bacterium. RNAcentral describes it as "partial 16S ribosomal RNA". It matches the Rfam family "Bacterial small subunit ribosomal RNA", at positions 339 to 795 of the family's 1533-position model. The record is from RNAcentral.